This is a long non-coding RNA of Aethalodelphis obliquidens (Pacific white-sided dolphin), 363 nucleotides long. RefSeq lists it as uncharacterized. The transcript is spliced from 3 exons. NCBI's taxonomy places the organism in Eukaryota, Metazoa, Chordata, Mammalia, Artiodactyla, Delphinidae. The record is from RefSeq and is a predicted model, not a curated record.
UCCGGCCUCCUCCUCAAGGUGACCAUUUUACUGCCCAUUUUAACUGCUAUGGGUCGGUUCCGGAGCUCCGUGUUAGAAACGGGGUGACGGAACCGGGAAGGUCCGAGUAGAGGCAUAGUCCCCAUUGCACAGAGGCGGGUCUGAGGCUCGGCGACGCCGCCCGUGGGCCCCGCACCAGGCCCGGGAGAGGGUCCGCCGUGCCCUGGUCCCACUUCUCCCGCGGCUCCCGGCGCCGCUCCGCUCACAGAGUCCGAUGGCGGCGGCGGCGGCGGCGCUUAGGCACCAGCCUCAGAGUCCGAAGGCUGCAGAAGUACUUAUGGAAACAAAACAGGCUCCGGACGCGCAGGCCCAGCGGCCAUGGCU